RNAcentral lists this microRNA precursor (62 nucleotides) under Python bivittatus (Burmese python). Its description in RNAcentral is "Pbv-Mir-190-P3_pre stem-loop". It matches the Rfam family "mir-190 microRNA precursor family", at positions 10 to 69 of the family's 78-position model. The record is from RNAcentral. Lineage: Eukaryota; Metazoa; Chordata; Lepidosauria; Squamata; Pythonidae.
UGAUAUGUUUGAUAUUAAGUUGUUCUCCUGGGAAACCCAACUAAAUAUCAGACAUAUUCCGA